GACGAACGCUGGCGGCGUGCUUAACACAUGCAAGUCGAACGGAAAGGCCCUGCUUUUGUGGGGUGCUCGAGUGGCGAACGGGUGAGUAACACGUGAGUAACCUGCCCUUGACUUUGGGAUAACUUCAGGAAACUGGGGCUAAUACCGGAUAGGAGCUCCUGCUGCAUGGUGGGGGUUGGAAAGUUUCGGCGGUUGGGGAUGGACUCGCGGCUUAUCAGCUUGUUGGUGGGGUAGUGGCUUACCAAGGCUUUGACGGGUAGCCGGCCUGAGAGGGUGACCGGCCACAUUGGGACUGAGAUACGGCCCAGACUCCUACGGGAGGCAGCAGUGGGGAAUAUUGCAGAAUGGGCGGAAGCCUGAUGCAGCAACGCCGCGUGCGGGAUGACGGCCUUCGAGUUGUAAACCGCUUUCGCCUGUGACGAAGCGUGAGUGACGGUAAUGGGUAAAGAAGCACCGGCUAACUACGUG
This 468-nucleotide ribosomal RNA is filed under the name uncultured bacterium. RNAcentral describes it as "partial 16S ribosomal RNA". It matches the Rfam family "Bacterial small subunit ribosomal RNA", at positions 28 to 507 of the family's 1533-position model. The record is from RNAcentral.